Molecule: ribosomal RNA, 458 nt
Filed under: uncultured Rhodocyclaceae bacterium
Lineage: Bacteria; Pseudomonadati; Pseudomonadota; Betaproteobacteria; Rhodocyclales; Rhodocyclaceae
Description: bacterial SSU rRNA
Rfam family: Bacterial small subunit ribosomal RNA
Source: RNAcentral
GCACAAGCGGUGGAUGAUGUGGUUUAAUCGAUGCAACGCGAAAACCUUACCCACCUUUGACAUGUACGGAAUCCUUUAGAGAUAGAGGAGUGCUCGAAAGAGAGCCGUAACACAGGUGGUGCAUGGUUGUCGUCAGCUCGUGUCGUGAGAUGUUGGGUUAAGUCCCGCAACGAGCGCAACCCUUGUCUUUAGUUGCCAUCAUUCAGUUGGGCACUCUAGCGAGACUGCCGGUAAUAAACCGGAGGAAGGUGGGGAUGACGUCAAGUCCUCAUGGCCCUUAUGGGUAGGGCUUCACACGUCAUACAAUGGUCGGUACAGAGGGUUGCCAACCCGCGAGGGGGAGCUAAUCCCACAAAGCCGAUCGUAGCCCGGAUCGCAGUCUGCAACUCGACUGCGUGAAGUCGGAAUCGCUAGUAAUCGUGGAUCAGCAUGUCACGGUGAAUACGUUCCCGGGUCUU